This 66-nucleotide transfer RNA is filed under the name Poecilocoris druraei. RNAcentral's name for it is "tRNA-Pro". Lineage: Eukaryota; Metazoa; Arthropoda; Insecta; Hemiptera; Scutelleridae. The record is from RNAcentral.
CAGUGAAUAGUUUAAAUAAAAUAUUAAUUUUGGAGAUUAAAGAUAAAUUGUUAAGUUUUUUACUGA